Yarrowia lipolytica CLIB122 is the source of this 81-nucleotide non-coding RNA. NCBI's taxonomy places the organism in Eukaryota, Fungi, Ascomycota, Dipodascomycetes, Dipodascales. The record is from the annotation of a RefSeq genome assembly.
AGUAGAAUAUAUAUAUAACAUAAUAACAAAAAGUAGACUCUGAACCAUCUCUUUGAGACGGUUCGAGUCCUAUUUUUGUUA